GGGCAAGAAAAAAAAAAAAAAAAAAAAAAAAAAAACCCAGAGGAUUUCUGUAGUUCUUGUGGUUAAGUAGAACAGGCAUUGGAAAGUGACUCCCAUGCUGUCAGCAGGGCAGCACUUGCCAGAGUGCUUAAAGAGCCUGAAACAGUUGCCUGAACCUCACUGCUCCGUAGGCUCUUGGAAAAUUGCUCGCUGGGAGGCUCCGGGGCAGCUAAGACCCUGUAAGGCAGCUCACACCCAGCCCUCUCAAGAAGGAAGGGUUGUCCCAGGCUAGGCCAGGAGCAAUUUCUGCCUGCUGAGAGGAGGCAGCAAGCCUUGCACCUUUGGGCUCCUCCUGAAAAUUCUCAGUUUCCUGUUUGCCGCCAGUUAAUAUGCAGUCAGAUCCCCAUCCCUGGACAGAAGGGUGGGAAGCAAGUGCCCGGAUGGCAGUGCUGUCCCCUGGGCUGCGUGCAGCUGGGUCCAGGGCUGAGUUUGGAGAAAGGCCAGCACUUUCAUUGGCUGACCUUUGCUGUCACCCCUGGCAGAGAGUUUCAUCAGCAUCAACUGCCCACAAGGCCAAAUCCCAAGGGAGAUGCUGUGCUCUCUGCCCCCUCCAACCACUCACUGGGGAUGGGGGUUUUGGGUGCCACCAAAGGAGUGGUGGGGCUUACCAGAAACCUGCCCCUCCGUCCCAUCCCCUGGCAGCAUCCCCCUGUAUGAUACAGAUGCUACAGAAAUGAAUGCUCCUCGCAGGGAUGCACUGCCUGAGGCUGGAGGGGCAGCAAGCACUGCAUCCAUCUCCAGUGUGGGUGCCAGGACCAGUCCAGGUGCGGGAUGCCAUCCCAACAGCCUGGAAUGACCUAGAGAGUGACCCACCUGAAGGAUAGCCCAGCAACCCCCUGCUGGGGUUGCAAAAGCCACCACUGUGGCCUUGGUAGAGGGAAGUGGUACCUCAGUGUGCUGGAGGAGAACCCCAAAUAUGUCAGUGAAAGAGUGGCAUUAAGAAUAAGGCAUGCUGACCUACUUCAUUUGGGUUUCUAAAAUGCUCCUGAGAGGUAACAGGGAGGGCUCCCUGGGGCAGCACACUGACACUCCCAGCCCUGCCUCUGCUCCCCACAGCUGGCAGGAUCCCCGGUGUCUUCACCCCAGAAAGAGAGCCCUAAGGGCAAGGAGUCUGCUGCAGCACCAAGAUGUAGUGGGCGAAGUGGUGUGGGAGCAACCCCUCUCCUGGACCUGAGUCCUCUGAUAGCCAAGUUCAACCGGGAGAUGCUGCAGGCAGAGACCUGGGUGCGAGGCAAGCUGCGGGACCUGAAGGACGGCUGUGACCUCCAGGAUUGUGAGGAGGUGGCUCAGACCUUGCAGCGGGACAUGAAGGAUUUUGAGAACACACUGAUAAAGCUCAAUCAGAUGGGUGAGCAGCUGAUGUGGAGGGCAAGCCCCAGUGCUGAGGCCAUGCAGAGGCAGCUGCAGGCCCUGCAGGACCUGUGGCAGCUCCUGAAGCAGACGGCUGCCAGCCAGAGCAAAGCCCUCCGGGGGCUGUGGGGUCUGCAGGACUUUAACAGGAAAGCUGAGCGGCUGGAGGCGUGGAUCAAGGACAAGGAGGAGAAGCCGUCUCUGGCAGCCCUCCUGCAGGAAAGCCCGGAUAAGAUCCAGCUCACUCGCCGCAUCCUUGACUUGAAGCAGGAGGAGCAGCAGUUCCAGAGUCUGCACAAGGAGCUGAACAGCCUGGCCCAGAAGCUGGAGAAAGAAGGCAAAAAUGAGAGCAGAAACAUCUCAGCCCGGCGCAAGCACCUCAACAGAGCGUGGCUUCGGCUGCAGGGGACCCUGAAGGAGCACCACGAGUCUCUGCAGCUGGCCCUGGAGGUGGCCUCCUUCCUCCAGCAAGCAGAUAUCCUGCUGGGGAUCAUCCAUGCAAAGCAGAGCAGCAUCUGCAGUACAGGGAAGCCAGGGGAGGGUGAGCCAUGCCAGGAUCGGGAUAUCAGGGACAUAGCCAGCCAGGUGAUGAUGCUGGAUGUGACAGUGUCCCAGCUCCUAAACUUACAGCCCAGCCUGGCAGCCCAAGUCACCUCAAAGCACCGAGACGUAAAGGAGAGCUGGGCACAGCUUCAACAGGCACUGAGAACAGGGAAGGCUCCAGCACGGGCAGGCAGUUCCCCAGGGAGCAAAGCUGCAGCUCCAAAUGUUGAGCCCCAAGGAGAUGAUAGCAGUCGUGGGGCUGUGGGUAAGGAAGCAGCAGCCAAGUGGACAAGAGGACUCGGCAGCAUGGUACCAAAAGAUGUGCUGGAGAAGAUGGCAGAGCACAAGAAAGGAGAGGAGAGCAACCCUGGCUCCCCAGCAGUGGGACAGGCCCCUCAUGGAGGGGACAACAAAAGGAGGAGAGAGGCAGAGGCUGACUGGGGGCUGCAGCAGCUGGAUACCCAAGUGCAGGAUGUCUGCCAGACUCUGUCCCCAUACAAGGAGAGUAUGGGUAUUGGAGUCCCCUCAUGUCCAGUGGCAAGCCUGGAGGCAGCAAGGAUGCAGCAAGAGCCCCUGUCUCCCAGCUCCAGUACCAGGGCUGUGCUCCUGGAGGAACCAGCACGAGGAAGGCCUCCCAGGAGCCCUCGGGUGGAGGCCAUGCUGCGGGAACUGGGAGAGUUAUGGGAGGACCUGCAGAGGAGGCAUCAGGAGAAUGGCAUAGUGCUGCAAGAAAUCGAUAAGGCACUGAGGCUGGUGGGAGAGCUGGACCAAGCUGAGCGGUGGCUGCAAGACGUGGCUGGGUCACUCUUGGAACCAGCCGCCAUGAGAAGCCCGGCAGAGCUGCGCCGGGACCUGGAAGAACUGAGCCAGCUGGAGAAGCAGCUCCUGCUCUGUGGCCUCAAGCUGCAGGCACUGCGGGAAGAAGCAGCAGGCGAGUCGCCCACUGAGCACGAGGGGGCAAGGAAGAUGCAGAGGAAAGUGGAGAUGAUGGAGGAGAAGUUGGCACAUGUGCAGGCGACCCUACGGCACAGGGCAGCAGAUCUGUGUGACUCCCUGGUGCUGUCUGAGUUCCUGCAGGACCUGCAAGAGGAGGAGGCACGGAGCCAGCAGGGAUCUGCAGUGGCAGGCAGUGGGCGUUGUGGCUCGCAGGGGUGUUUUCCCCUGCUCUCAGCCCAGACUGAGAAGUCUCCAAGCAGUGAGGACAUGAGGCGCCCCUUGGGAGAGCUGCAGGAGGCCGUGGAGAUGCUGAAUGACGCAGCGAAGGAGCGGGAGAGGGUCAUGGAGGUGGCAGUGGAGACGGAGAGCCUGGAGCGUCUGGUAGGGAAUGGAGGCUGGGAGCCUGGGGAUGCAACCAGUGCUUCAUCUGCAGCUGGACAUGCUGGCUCACUGGGACUGGGGGUGCACUUCAGCUGUCCUCAGUGGGACACAAGGACAUUUGGAUUCAUGGGGAUCACUCUGUGUGAGGCUGGUAUCCUUGUCUCUCCCAUGGCUGGCACCUGCCCUUUUGCAGCUGCAUGGCAGGGUGUCCCCAGGCCAGGGUGGGCUGGGGCUGUGUGGCAGGUGGUAGCACAGGGGCUUCCACCCCGGGGCUAAUCUCCCUCCAUGUCUCCUCCUGUCUAUCCAGGUGGCGAAGAUAUCCCCACAGCUGGAGGCCCUUCAGUGCAGAGCCAAGGCUCUGUCUCAGGACAUUGCCCUAGCAGAGAAGAGCUUCACCACGGUGAAGAGUGAGAAGGACCUGCAAGGGCUGCAGGACUUGCUAAGCUGCCAGCAGGAGAUGGAGGUGAGUCAGGGGAGCACUGCCAGGGAGGUGCCCCAGCUGGCUGGGGCUGUCCCAGUGAGGCACUGACCCCGAUCCAGGGACCCAGGUGUUGUAAGCUUUGGCACACUGUGGCAAGGCGGGCUGGAAUUUUCCAGUGGAGCUGAGACUUGCCUGCUCUGAUCCCCUCUGAUAGCACGGGCCAGGCAAGGGGAGAGAGCUUGCAUCAGCUCCCAUGUGCCAACACCCAGCUGCCAGCACCUCACUUGUCUUCCCUCUGGUGGGGAAGCGACUCAUGCACACAGGGCAGGGAAGCCAGGCAGUUCUGUGCUCUUCCUGUGCUCCCCACGGAGGCUAGCUCUGCCCGCUCUCUGCAGCCCAUGUACCAGCAUCCUCUCCUCUGUCCCUGCAUCCCAGAAUGCAGGGGAAUCCAGCCUGGGUUCAGAGGGGUUGGAUGCAUC
RNAcentral lists this long non-coding RNA (4149 nucleotides) under Taeniopygia guttata (zebra finch). RNAcentral's name for it is "lncRNA (ENSTGUG00000023553.1)". The record is from RNAcentral. Lineage: Eukaryota; Metazoa; Chordata; Aves; Passeriformes; Estrildidae.